CCUACGGGGGGCGGCAGUAGGGAAUUUUCGGCAAUGGGGGCAACCCUGACCGAGCGACGCCGCGUGAGUGAAGAAGGCCUUCGGGUUGUAAAGCUCUGUUGUAAGGGAAGAAUGGUACUUGUAGGGAAUGGCAAGUAAUUGACGGUACCUUACCAGAAAGCCACGGCUAACUACGUGCCAGCAGCCCCGGUC
RNAcentral lists this ribosomal RNA (192 nucleotides) under uncultured bacterium. RNAcentral's name for it is "partial 16S rRNA". It matches the Rfam family "Bacterial small subunit ribosomal RNA", at positions 338 to 522 of the family's 1533-position model. The record is from RNAcentral.